UAGUUACUAAUGUGUGAUUAGUGAUUAGUCACUAGAUGUACAUGUGGCAGACAAUUGACGUUUAAAGCCAAAGAAAAGUUGCACAGAAUCAUAGACGCAAGAGACACAGAUCAGACCUCAGUAGUCAAAACUCAGAAGGAGAUAAAAGUAGUUUGAGAAAUCUAUGAUCAGACCUUUGCGGGCUGAUAAAUUUAGCGGUCAGAUUCUGAGUUACAAGUUGCAUGGACAUAAGCAAUGAAAGCAGAAGGUUGUGUCAAUAUGAGGAUCCGCAAUCUUCCAUUGACCUCUGCCAUCUUCCUCACUAGGAUACGCCCUUGGUUCAUCAGAUGCAUCUCCAUAACUAUCGUCGCAAGGCCUCCAGGACUUGGAAGAUUUUAAAGGCAGAGAAAAAAAAACACUUCUUGGUUUGCCUGUUAUUGCCAACCAUGAUAUAUGGAUAGAUACAAAAAUUUCUUGCACUUGAAAGCUCUAGCUAGCCCACAAAGAGCUCUUUCUCAUAAGGUUUUGUUGAGUAUUCUUUGUUGGGUAUGAAAUGGGAAGCAAGCAAGCUGUUGAAUUUUGAGGGAAAUUACAAAAACAAGUACCUUGUAGUUCGAUGCCUUUUUCAAGUCGCGUCUUUUACUUUGAUUUGUGACAAAAAGAGCCUAUGAUGUUCUGCUGUUAUCAAAGUGCAUCUUUUUCCUUUA
Molecule: long non-coding RNA, 686 nt
Organism: Hevea brasiliensis (rubber tree)
Lineage: Eukaryota; Viridiplantae; Streptophyta; Magnoliopsida; Malpighiales; Euphorbiaceae
Exons: 2
Source: RefSeq, a predicted model, not a curated record